This 975-nucleotide ribosomal RNA is filed under the name uncultured bacterium. RNAcentral describes it as "bacterial SSU rRNA". It matches the Rfam family "Bacterial small subunit ribosomal RNA", at positions 529 to 1501 of the family's 1533-position model. The record is from RNAcentral.
GGGGGGGUUUGGUUUGGGGAUUGGACUGGGCGUAAAGGGCGUGUAGGCGGUUGGUCAAGUCUGAUGUGAAAGCCCGAGGCUCAGCUUCGGAAGUGCAUCAGAAACUAGCCAGCUGGAGCGCGAUAGAGGAGGGCGGAAUUCCUGGUGUAGCGGUGAAAUGCGCAGAUAUCAGGAGGAACACCGGUGGCGAAGGCGGGUCUCUGGGCCGGAACUGACGCUGAGGAGCGAAAGCGUGGGGAGCGAACAGGAUUAGAUACCCUGGUAGUCCACGCCGUAAACGUUGGGCGCUAGGUGUGGGGGGUUUUCUACACCCUCCGUGCCGCAGCUAACGCAUUAAGCGCCCCGCCUGGGGAGUACGGCCGCAAGGCUAAAACUCAAAGGAAUUGACGGGGGCCCGCACAAGCGGCGGAGCAUGUGGCUUAAUUCGACGCAACGCGAAGAACCUUACCAAGGCUUGACAUGCAGGGAAAACUCGUAGAGAUACGGGGUCCGCAAGGGCCUUGCACAGGUGGUGCAUGGUUGUCGUCAGCUCGUGUCGUGAGAUGUUGGGUUAAGUCCCGCAACGAGCGCAACCCUCGUCCUAUGUUGCCAGCGGGUAAUGCCGGGGACUCAUAGGAGACUGCCGGGGUCAACUCGGAGGAAGGUGGGGAUGACGUCAAAUCAUCAUGCCCCUUAUGUCUUGGGCUGCACACAUGCUACAAUGGCCGGUACAAAGGGCUGCGAUACCGCAAGGUGGAGCGAAUCCCAAAAAGCCGGUCUCAGUUCGGAUCGGGGUCUGCAACUCGACCCCGUGAAGUCGGAGUCGCUAGUAAUCGCAGAUCAGCAACGCUGCGGUGAAUACGUUCCCGGGCCUUGUACACACCGCCCGUCACGUCACGAAAGUCGGUAACACCCGAAGCCGGUGGCCCAACCCGCAAGGGAGGGAGCCGUCGAAGGUGGGACCGGCGAUUGGGACGAAGUCGUAACAAGGUAACC